This 5256-nucleotide unclassified non-coding RNA is filed under the name Leishmania donovani. RNAcentral describes it as "gene:LdHU3.33.3440(CDS-product:hypothetical_prote in_conserved)". Lineage: Eukaryota; Euglenozoa; Kinetoplastea; Trypanosomatida; Trypanosomatidae. The record is from RNAcentral.
UUACCGGUCUGUACAUUCCUGCAUGCCCAUCAGCUCAUUUUGAUCGCUGCAAGGCGUCUGGUUUCCUCCCUCCCCCUUUCCUCCUCCCUCAUUUCCUUUGCCUCCGCACAGUGCGCUCCCUGUAGCACACGCCCGCCCGACGUCCACACAGCACACAGGGACGUGCUUUCCUUUAUUUUCCCUUUCCUCGUUUUGGUGGGCGAACGCUGAAGCGAUCAUACAGCCAUCUCGGCAGAGGACAGGGGCGACGACAGCGAGGGAGGGCUGAAGAGCACGACAGAGCACACGAAAUAUCGUGUGCGUGUAUGUGUGUGUCCGCGCGACACGCCUCCGCUACGAGUGUGAUGGUCUGUGGUUCAGCACUGCCUUCUUUUGCAGACACCAACAGCAGUACAGCGGCGGCCAAGCGGAACAUCGCAAAACGCAUCCAUCACUGCGCCAGCCCCCUCCUUCCCCCCGCCCCGCCAGCCUCCUCCAACAUUUCUUCUUUGCUUCCUCCCCUGAAGAGGCAACAUCAGCAACGCAGCAUUGCAUAAAACGCCAGCCAUGAGUGGACUUCUUGGCUUCCGUGAGGAGUCUCCAGCGGUGGAGGUGCCAAUCGAGGAUGACAUCUCCUACAACGACUCCGCCUCCCAAUCAUCCUACACCACGAGCCACUCGCGCAGCUCUAGCGGCAGCGUCUAUAGCACAUCCACCUCGGCCACUGACAACGAGGCGUACCAGAACCUCAAGCUCGAGUUGGCCGUGGCUCAAGAAAACAUACUCGAGCUUCAUCAGAAAUACCAGGAUCUCGAGCGAACCUCGACAUACGCAAAAGGGCAACUCGAGAAUGAGAUUGAUAUCUUACGCUUGCAGCUUCAGCGCCUCAAAGACAAACCCGUAACAUCGGAUGAGCACGCGACUCGCCCACUCGGACUGGAGGCCGCGAAGGCUGCGGCUGACGCGAGGGUGCAGGAGCUGGAGGCGGCUGCCGCGUCGAGCGCCGAGGUGGCGAGCAGGCUGGCCGCCGAGCACGCUGAGCACGUCGCCGGGCUGGAGGCCGCGAAGGCUGUGGCUGACGCGAGGGUGCAGGAGCUGGAGGCGGCUGCCGCGUCGAGCGCCGAGGUGGCGAGCAGGCUGGCCGCCGAGCACGCUGAGCACGUCGCCGGGCUGGAGGCCGCGAAGGCUGUGGCUGACGCGAGGGUGCAGGAGCUGGAGGCGGCUGCCGCGUCGAGCGCCGAGGUGGCGAGCAGGCUGGCCGCCGAGCACGCUGAGCACGUCGCCGGGCUGGAGGCCGCGAAGGCUGUGGCUGACGCGAGGGUGCAGGAGCUGGAGGCGGCUGCCGCGUCGAGCGCCGAGGUGGCGAGCAGGCUGGCCGCCGAGCACGCUGAGCACGUCGCCGGGCUGGAGGCCGCGAAGGCUGUGGCUGACGCGAGGGUGCAGGAGCUGGAGGCGGCUGCCGCGUCGAGCGCCGAGGUGGCGAGCAGGCUGGCCGCCGAGCACGCUGAGCACGUCGCCGGGCUGGAGGCCGCGAAGGCUGUGGCUGACGCGAGGGUGCAGGAGCUGGAGGCGGCUGCCGCGUCGAGCGCCGAGGUGGCGAGCAGGCUGGCCGCCGAGCACGCUGAGCACGUCGCCGGGCUGGAGGCCGCGAAGGCUGUGGCUGACGCGAGGGUGCAGGAGCUGGAGGCGGCUGCCGCGUCGAGCGCCGAGGUGGCGAGCAGGCUGGCCGCCGAGCACGCUGAGCACGUCGCCGGGCUGGAGGCCGCGAAGGCUGUGGCUGACGCGAGGGUGCAGGAGCUGGAGGCGGCUGCCGCGUCGAGCGCCGAGGUGGCGAGCAGGCUGGCCGCCGAGCACGCUGAGCACGUCGCCGGGCUGGAGGCCGCGAAGGCUGCGGCUGACGCGAGGGUGCAGGAGCUGGAGGCGGCUGCCGCGUCGAGCGCCGAGGUGGCGAGCAGGCUGGCCGCCGAGCACGCUGAGCACGUCGCCGGGCUGGAGGCCGCGAAGGCUGUGGCUGACGCGAGGGUGCAGGAGCUGGAGGCGGCUGCCGCGUCGAGCGCCGAGGUGGCGAGCAGGCUGGCCGCUGAGCACGCUGAGCACGUCGCCGGGCUGGAGGCCGCGAAGGCUGCGGCUGACGCGAGGGUGCAGGAGCUGGAGGCGGCUGCCGCGUCGAGCGCCGAGGUGGCGAGCAGGCUGGCCGCUGAGCACGCUGAGCACGUCGCCGGGCUGGAGGCCGCGAAGGCUGCGGCUGACGCGAGGGUGCAGGAGCUGGAGGCGGCUGCCGCGUCGAGCGCCGAGGUGGCGAGCAGGCUGGCCGCUGAGCACGCUGAGCACGUCGCCGGGCUGGAGGCCGCGAAGGCUGCGGCUGACGCGAGGGUGCAGGAGCUGGAGGCGGCUGCCGCGUCGAGCGCCGAGGUGGCGAGCAGGCUGGCCGCCGAGCACGCUGAGCACGUCGCCGGGCUGGAGGCCGCGAAGGCUGUGGCUGACGCGAGGGUGCAGGAGCUGGAGGCGGCUGCCGCGUCGAGCGCCGAGGUGGCGAGCAGGCUGGCCGCCGAGCACGCUGAGCACGUCGCCGGGCUGGAGGCCGCGAAGGCUGUGGCUGACGCGAGGGUGCAGGAGCUGGAGGCGGCUGCCGCGUCGAGCGCCGAGGUGGCGAGCAGGCUGGCCGCCGAGCACGCUGAGCACGUCGCCGGGCUGGAGGCCGCGAAGGCUGCGGCUGACGCGAGGGUGCAGGAGCUGGAGGCGGCUGCCGCGUCGAGCGCCGAGGUGGCGAGCAGGCUGGCCGCCGAGCACGCUGAGCACGUCGCCGGGCUGGAGGCCGCGAAGGCUGUGGCUGACGCGAGGGUGCAGGAGCUGGAGGCGGCUGCCGCGUCGAGCGCCGAGGUGGCGAGCAGGCUGGCCGCUGAGCACGCUGAGCACGUCGCCGGGCUGGAGGCCGCGAAGGCUGCGGCUGACGCGAGGGUGCAGGAGCUGGAGGCGGCUGCCGCGUCGAGCGCCGAGGUGGCGAGCAGGCUGGCCGCUGAGCACGCUGAGCACGUCGCCGGGCUGGAGGCCGCGAAGGCUGCGGCUGACGCGAGGGUGCAGGAGCUGGAGGCGGCUGCCGCGUCGAGCGCCGAGGUGGCGAGCAGGCUGGCCGCCGAGCACGCUGAGCACGUCGCCGGGCUGGAGGCCGCGAAGGCUGUGGCUGACGCGAGGGUGCAGGAGCUGGAGGCGGCUGCCGCGUCGAGCGCCGAGGUGGCGAGCAGGCUGGCCGCCGAGCACGCUGAGCACGUCGCCGGGCUGGAGGCCGCGAAGGCUGUGGCUGACGCGAGGGUGCAGGAGCUGGAGGCGGCUGCCGCGUCGAGCGCCGAGGUGGCGAGCAGGCUGGCCGCUGAGCACGCUGAGCACGUCGCCGGGCUGGAGGCCGCGAAGGCUGCGGCUGACGCGAGGGUGCAGGAGCUGGAGGCGGCUGCCGCGUCGAGCGCCGAGGUGGCGAGCAGGCUGGCCGCCGAGCACGCUGAGCACGUCGCCGGGCUGGAGGCCGCGAAGGCUGUGGCUGACGCGAGGGUGCAGGAGCUGGAGGCGGCUGCCGCGUCGAGCGCCGAGGUGGCGAGCAGGCUGGCCGCCGAGCACGCUGAGCACGUCGCCGGGCUGGAGGCCGCGAAGGCUGUGGCUGACGCGAGGGUGCAGGAGCUGGAGGCGGCUGCCGCGUCGAGCGCCGAGGUGGCGAGCAGGCUGGCCGCCGAGCACGCUGAGCACGUCGCCGGGCUGGAGGCCGCGAAGGCUGCGGCUGACGCGAGGGUGCAGGAGCUGGAGGCGGCUGCCGCGUCGAGCGCCGAGGUGGCGAGCAGGCUGGCCGCCGAGCACGCUGAGCACGUCGCCGGGCUGGAGGCCGCGAAGGCUGUGGCUGACGCGAGGGUGCAGGAGCUGGAGGCGGCUGCCGCGUCGAGCGCCGAGGUGGCGAGCAGGCUGGCCGCCGAGCACGCUGAGCACGUCGCCGGGCUGGAGGCCGCGAAGGCUGUGGCUGACGCGAGGGUGCAGGAGCUGGAGUCUUCGGUUGCUGCAGUUGCAGAGAUGUUGGUGAAGGAGCCUAUGAGCGGUACCGCAAAUUGUAUUGUGGAAAAUAAGGUUGUGGGAAAGGGCGUGGAUGAGGUGGUGCUCGCCAGAGAGCUGCAGGCGAGUCUCAGGCAGCAGUUGAAGCAAAGGGAGGCGGCGAGAAGUCGACUUAUGGAUGAGGUGAGGGAGUUGAAGGCCAAGCUUGCAGCUGCAGAUGCGGAAAAGGUGGAGAUUGCGCAUAAUCGAGAAGUGGUCGAGCGAGAGGUGCGCCGACGCGCUGAGGCAACGGAACUGACCGGGUUGUUGGCCGGUCAGGAAAGCGGCCCUGGCAGCAGGACGAAGCGCUACCGUAGCUGGUGCCCAGCAUGCACAGUGAUGUGAUUAUGUGGUUUGGUUCAGGCUCCGCUGAAGUUUUUUUUUUUUGCUUGUUUGUGACUUAGAUCUCGGCCCUCGCUCCUCUUCUCCUUCCGGACGCCUCCUCUGCAUGAUGCGGUGCGCCGGUGGUUGAGCGUGGGGUGUGUCGGCUGCCCUUUGUUUUUGUUUUGAAGCACAUGCAGAGGAACGAAAACCUUUUUGUGGUUUAUGUUCCAUGUUACAGAGUACUGUACAGACUUUGGCGUUUUGCUGUUCGCUGCGUUUUCCGUGUUUAGAUUUAUCGCGGCACUUAUUUUGUAUUUUUUUUAUGUGUGUGCCUGCGUUUGCGGGCGUCCGCACACGCUCGCCCAUCGGGGCUUGAGUGCAGGCGGGUUGAGUUGGGUAAAGAGUGAGCAAGGAAGGGAGUCGUGCGUCGACGUGGGGGAGCGCGCUGAUGCGGUUUGUUUUGCUCCUCGGCGCGCUUUUUUCGUGUGCCUGAGGAACGCGCUACGGUCGGGGCGAGGGCUGUGCAACGCAGACGUUGCGUGCGUGUGCGUGUGGGCAGUAGGAUAUGUGCCGCUAUAUAUAUAUAUGUAUUUCUGUGUUUUCGUCUCAGCAUGGCGCUUGUUGUUCUGGGAAGCUGUGCUGAGAGGAAUGUGCAGAGUUGGGGCUCGCCUUCUCUGUCACGCGAUGGCGAACCUGUACGAGAAGGCGUGCGCGCGUGCGUGUGGAUGUCUUCCUCCCUGUGUGUGGGCGACUGAUACCCACCUCCUUCAAUCGCAUGGUGUACGACAACUUGUUUCUUGCGCUCUCGUUGUCGUGUGCUCGUGUGUGCGGAUGGGUGCUGCACACAGUCGCCCUCACGGCUGUCACAUCGAAAAAGAGUUGAUC